UCCCAGACUGCACUGGAGAGUGAGGCCUU
Molecule: non-coding RNA, 29 nt
Filed under: Homo sapiens (human)
Lineage: Eukaryota; Metazoa; Chordata; Mammalia; Primates; Hominidae
Source: RNAcentral